This 855-nucleotide ribosomal RNA is filed under the name uncultured Verrucomicrobiota bacterium. Its description in RNAcentral is "bacterial SSU rRNA". It matches the Rfam family "Bacterial small subunit ribosomal RNA", at positions 67 to 902 of the family's 1533-position model. Lineage: Bacteria; Pseudomonadati; Verrucomicrobiota. The record is from RNAcentral.
UUUUCUUUGGUAGCAAUACCGAAGGAAGUCUAGCGGCGAACGGGUGCUUAACACGUGGGCAACCUGCCAGGAAGUGGGGGAUAGCUCGCCGAAAGGCGAAUUAAUACCGCAUGUGAUUAGAGAGGACCAUCCUUUCGAAAUUAAAGUCGGGGCAACCUGACGCUUCUUGUGGGGCCCGCGGCCUAUCAGCUAGUUGGUGGGGUAACGGCUCACCAAGGCUUUGACGGGUAGCUGGUCUGAGAGGACGACCAGCCACACUGGGACUGAGACACGGCCCAGACACCUACGGGUGGCAGCAGUCGAGAAUUUUUGACAAUGGGGGAAACCCUGAUCGAGCGACGCCGCGUGGAGGAUGAAGGUCUUCGGAUUGUAAACUCCUGUCAUUGGGGAACAAGGUGCAUACGUUAACUGCGUGUGCAUUGAUAGUACCCGAAGAGGAAGAGACGGCUAACUCUGUGCCAGCAGCCGCGGUAAUACAGAGGUCUCAAGCGUUGUUCGGAUUCAUUGGGCGUAAAGGGUGCGUAGGCGGCGCGGUAAGUCGGGUGUGAAAUCUCGGAGCUUAACUCCGAAACUGCAUUCGAUACUGCCGUGCUUGAGGACUGGAGAGGAGACUGGAAUUUACGGUGUAGCGGUGAAAUGCGUAGAUAUCGUAAGGAAGACCAGUGGCGAAGGCGGGUCUCUGGACAGUUCCUGACGCUGAGGCACGAAGGUCAGGGGAGCAAACGGGAUUAGAUACCCCGGUAGUCCUGACAGUAAACGGUGCACGUUUGGUGUGGGAGGAUUCGACCCCUUCUGCGCCGGAGCUAACGCGUUAAACGUGCCGCCUGGGGGAGUACGGUCGCAAGAUUAAAACUC